UCAUUAUCGAAAUUACUGGCGAGGGUUGUAGCUGGCCUUUCGGGGCACGUGCACGCCUGAGCCUUUAAUCCACAUACACCUGUGAACCCAAUGUAAGGGCCCGUAAAAAAGGCCCCUACGUCUCAUCAUCAACCCCAUUGCAUGUCUCAUAGAAUGUAAAUCAAUAUCCUCGCCUAAAAAGCGUUGAUAAAACAUAUACAACUUUCAACAACGGAUCUCUUGGCUCUCGCAUCGAUGAAGAACGCAGCGAAAUGCGAUAAGUAAUGUGAAUUGCAGAUUUUCAGUGAAUCAUCGAAUCUUUGAACGCACCUUGCGCUCCUUGGUAUUCCGAGGAGCAUGCCUGUUUGAGUGUCAUUAAAUCAUCAACCCCGAUUGGUUUGUUUUCAAAUCUCCGGGGCUUGGACUUGGAGCGUGCUGGCGAAGGUCGGCUCCUCUGAAAUGCAUCAGCGGAAUUCAAUCUUUGGUUUCCGGAUGUCGGUGUGAUAAUCACGUUGCGCCGUCGUCUGACCUCAAAGUCCGCUCAUAAUGGUCUUCGGACGAUUCAUCGAAUUUGACCUC
Molecule: ribosomal RNA, 558 nt
Filed under: uncultured fungus from ectomycorrhizal root
Lineage: Eukaryota; Fungi
Description: eukaryotic LSU rRNA
Rfam family: 5.8S ribosomal RNA (bases 200-354)
Source: RNAcentral